UCCGUAGGUGAACCUGCGGAAGGAUCAUUAUUGAAAACAAGGGUGUCCAAUUUAACUUGGAACCCAAACUUCUCAAUUCUAACUUUGUGCAUCUGUAUUAAUGGCGAGCAACUUCGGUUGUGAGCCUUCACUUACAAAACACUAGUCUAUGAAUGUAAAAUUUUUAUAACAAAUAAAAACUUUCAACAACGGAUCUCUUGGCUCUCGCAUCGAUGAAGAACGCAGCGAAAUGCGAUACGUAAUGUGAAUUGCAGAAUUCAGUGAAUCAUCGAAUCUUUGAACGCAUCUUGCGCUCUCUGGUAUUCCGGAGAGCAUGUCUGUUUGAGUGUCAUGAAUUCUUCAACCCAAUCUUUUCUUGUAAUCGAUUGGUGUUUGGAUUCUGAGCGUUGCUGGCGUUUGCCUAGCUCGUUCGUAAUACAUUAGCAUCCCUAAUACAAGUUUGGAUUGACUUGGCGUAAUAGACUAUUCGCUAAGGAUUCGGUGGAAACAUCGAGCCAACUUCAUUAAGGAAGCUCCUAAUUUAAAAGUCUACCUUUUGAUUAGAUCUCAAAUCAGGCAGGAUUACCCGCUGAACUU
Molecule: unclassified non-coding RNA, 576 nt
Filed under: Sporobolomyces pararoseus
Lineage: Eukaryota; Fungi; Basidiomycota; Microbotryomycetes; Sporidiobolales; Sporidiobolaceae
Description: Sporidiobolus pararoseus partial contains ITS1, 5.8S rRNA and ITS2
Rfam family: 5.8S ribosomal RNA (bases 178-331)
Source: RNAcentral